This 535-nucleotide ribosomal RNA is filed under the name uncultured bacterium. Its description in RNAcentral is "bacterial SSU rRNA". It matches the Rfam family "Bacterial small subunit ribosomal RNA", at positions 777 to 1304 of the family's 1533-position model. The record is from RNAcentral.
AAUAGAUACCCCGGUAGUCCACGCCGUAAACGGUGGGCACUAGGUGUGGGCAACAUUCCACGUUGUCCGUGCCGCAGCUAACGCAUUAAGUGCCCCGCCUGGGGAGUACGGCCGCAAGGCUAAAACUCAAAGGAAUUGACGGGGGCCCGGCACAAGCGGCGGAGCAUGUGGCUUAAUUCGACGCAACGCGAAGAACCUUACCAAGGCUUGACAUACACCGGAAACAUCCAGAGAUGGGUGCCCCCUUGUGGUCGGUGUACAGGUGGUGCAUGGCUGUCGUCAGCUCGUGUCGUGAGAUGUUGGGUUAAGUCCCGCAACGAGCGCAACCCUUGUCCCGUGUUGCCAGCAGGCCCUUGUGGUGCUGGGGACUCACGGGAGACCGCCGGGGUCAACUCGGAGGAAGGUGGGGACGACGUCAAGUCAUCAUGCCCCUUAUGUCUUGGGCUGCACACGUGCUACAAUGGCCGGUACAAUGAGCUGCGAUACCGCGAGGUGGAGCGAAUCUCAAAAAGCCGGUCUCAGUUCGGAUUGGGGU